UCGGGAAUUUUGGGCAAUGGGCGAAAGCCUGACCCAGCAACGCCGCGUGAAGGAUGAAAUCUUUCGGGAUGUAAACUUCGCAAGAAUAGGAAGAAUAAGCACAGGAUAAAACUCUGUGUGAUGACGGUACUAUUUGUAAGCUCCGGCUAACUCCGUGCCAGCAGCCGCGGUAAUACGGGGGGAGCAAGCGUUGUUCGGAUUUACUGGGCGUAAAGGGCGCGUAGGCGGCGCAACAAGUCACUUGUGAAAUCUCCGGGCUUAACUCGGAACGGUCAAGUGAUACUGUUGUGCUAGAGUGCGGAAGGGGCAACUGGAAUUCUCGGUGUAGCGGUGAAAUGCGUAGAUAUCGAGAGGAACACCUGCGGCGAAGGCGGGUUGCUGGGCCGACACUGACGCUGAUGCGCGAAAGCCAGGGGAGCGAACGGGAUUAGAUACCCCCGUAGUCC
This 446-nucleotide ribosomal RNA is filed under the name uncultured bacterium. RNAcentral's name for it is "bacterial SSU rRNA". It matches the Rfam family "Bacterial small subunit ribosomal RNA", at positions 355 to 796 of the family's 1533-position model. The record is from RNAcentral.